GGCAGUGUGGUGUAGUGGCUUGAGCAUUGAUCUAUAUAACAAUGGAGACCAGGGUUCAAAUCCCUACUCAGCCA
This is a non-coding RNA of Phrynosoma platyrhinos (Desert horned lizard), 74 nucleotides long. Lineage: Eukaryota; Metazoa; Chordata; Lepidosauria; Squamata; Phrynosomatidae. The record is from the annotation of a GenBank genome assembly.